This is a long non-coding RNA of Myotis brandtii (Brandt's bat), 1066 nucleotides long. RefSeq lists it as uncharacterized. The transcript has 4 exons. The record is from RefSeq and is a predicted model, not a curated record. Lineage: Eukaryota; Metazoa; Chordata; Mammalia; Chiroptera; Vespertilionidae.
GUGACUGGGACAGGAUGUGACAUCAACGAGGCGGGGGAAUUGAACUCGCAGGAAAUUCCAUCCCGAUGGGCCGCGGCGGUGGGGGGCUCCAGGCCCCUGGGAUUGGGGACCUGGACUCAGGCAGCCAGCGCUGGGACCGGGCCCUGGGUGCUAGGAGUGGACCGCAGAGUGGGAGGGCCUGGCCGGAGGGCGGCACCUCCAGGAGGGAGGGACAGAGAGCAGGCCCCGCCCUCAGGGCCAUGUUUGCUGGAGCUGCUGAGGCUCGGACCCAGGACCGAUGCUGCAGGGCAGUCCUUCCAGGUGAGCUCCCAGCGGGAGGCCAAGUCUUCCUACCACGGGAGCUGGUCCUGGGACCCACUUUCCAGGGGAGGAACCCCCAACCACCUUCACUUCUCAUGUCUGUCCCGCAAAUUAGCUCCAUGAGGAAAAGCGCUGACAGCUGGAGGCUCCCCCGGCCACAGGAGGCACAGCUGUGGGUGACGUGGUCCCGUGUCCUCGGUCACAGAUCUGCAAUUUGUAACCACAAUCGAAAGAAAUAAUGAUAUAUGAUACCCCAAACCACUGAAUGGCACACUUUCAAGGGGCGGAUUGUAAGCCGGCUUUCCCAUCUGGGGAGCCAUGGAGCGCCUCAGAGUGGCAGCUCCGUGGGGAGGUGAGUGCGGAGCCCAGGCCCAGGGGUUCGGCCUGUCGGGCAGCAGCCCUGUCCCUUCAGGCCAGCCCUGAGCCCCUGAGCUGUGCUGGGACGUGGCCCAGUGAGUACAGAGCCAUCGGGCACCGCUCUGCUCGUCAGCUGGUACAUCGGGUCCCAGCUCCCCCGACCCCCCCUCCUGCUGUCCUCCUGGAGGGAGCCGGCCGCUGACUCAGGGAGCCGCCAUGGAUGGGCUUCCUGCUGCUUUAAGAAGCCUCCUUCCUCGCCAGCCUCAUUAUAAUGUGACAGAGCAGUUGCCAAGGUAACGGCACUAACCCUCCUCUCUCCUCUCUGCAAAUUUCCUAGCAAAUGAGGCCGGACCCACGCGAGGUGUCCUGCGGCCUGUGCUUGGAGCGGCGGCUGCCCGGCCUCCCCUCC